UGAACGCUGGCGGCGUGCUUAACACAUGCAAGUCGAACGGAAAGGCCCAAGCUUGCUUGGGUACUCGAGUGGCGAACGGGUGAGUAACACGUGGGUGAUCUGCCCUGCACUUCGGGAUAAGCCUGGGAAACUGGGUCUAAUACCGGAUAGGACGAUGGUUUGGAUGCCAUUGUGGAAAGUUUUUUCGGUGUGGGAUGAGCUCGCGGCCUAUCAGCUUGUUGGUGGGGUAAUGGCCUACCAAGGCGUCGACGGGUAGCCGGCCUGAGGGGGUGUACGGCCACAUUGGGACUGAGAUACGGCCCAGACUCCUACGGGAGGCAGCAGUGGGGAAUAUUGCACAAUGGGCGCAGGCCUGAUGCAGCGACGCCGCGUGGGGGAUGACGGCCUUCGGGUUGUAAACUCCUUUCGCUAGGGACGAAGCGUUUUUGUGACGGUACCUGGAGAAGAAGCACCGGCUAACUACGUG
This 466-nucleotide ribosomal RNA is filed under the name uncultured bacterium. Its description in RNAcentral is "partial 16S ribosomal RNA". It matches the Rfam family "Bacterial small subunit ribosomal RNA", at positions 30 to 507 of the family's 1533-position model. The record is from RNAcentral.